This 351-nucleotide long non-coding RNA is filed under the name Hordeum vulgare. RNAcentral's name for it is "long non-coding RNA (HVUL_LNC019889)". The record is from RNAcentral. Lineage: Eukaryota; Viridiplantae; Streptophyta; Magnoliopsida; Poales; Poaceae.
GCCAUCUGCAGAUCCUCUUCUCUCGCUCCUCCUCUCACGCCAUCCUGCCAUCCGCUCCCUCUAUAAACUACGGCGCCACUUUACACAUGCACAUCACGUCGGCAAACAGUGUUAUCGUAAAUUCUAAUCGAUCAAUGGCUCGACCGCUCACCAUCUUCUUCUUCCUGCUCGUCGCCCCCGUCGUUUCCGUGCGGGGAGCUGGCGCUGGUGUCGGUCUCGUUCCGCCGGUGCCGAUUGGCAGGAGGUACAUCGUCGGCGGCGCGGACGGGUGGCGUGUGCCGCCGCAGGAGAACAAGGACAUGUAUGUGAAGUGGGCCUCCACCAUCCAGUUUUUCAUCGAAGACUCCGUUG